AUAUUCUUUCCCUCAUUCUCUCUCUCCCCGUACCAGCCACAUUUCCUCUCCCCAUUUCCCCUUUGUCUCUUCGCCUAUCCUUCUUCUUCUGCGCACCUAGAGAUGCUUCUCCUCGGCACAUAAGCUUGGCCUCUUCUCCUCGGUGCAUAAAUGACUUCGACGGCGCCCAGCAUAGGCGGUUGGCCGCAUGGAAGGCUUCUUUGGUACAUUCUUGGCUACUUGGACGAUGGUGGCUCGAUCUUCAACGAUAGAGGUAAGGUUUCUCCCCCUCUCCUUCGUUCAUUUUUUUUUUCUGUUGCAGGUGGUUGUGAAGAUAGCUAGUUUUUUGUUUCAGAUUUGAUAUUGUACGAUAUAAUUGUUUGUGCAAGACAUGGGUUGUGUACGCUUAGGGCGGGGCUGGGCUUGCGAUGUUGUCGUUCAUGGAGGAUGAAGUUAGGCUCAGAGGUGGCUGGAAACGGGAUUGGCCUCGCGGAUUGCAUUGUCGUCGUUCAUGGAGGGGGCUGGGCUCGUUGAGAUGAGGGUUGGGCUUGCGAAGGUGGCUGGAAACGGGGUUGUGAAGCUCUGUUUUUCGAUGGAUAUGGGUGUCAUGGGACCUCAUUUGAUCAGACAUAUCGAUGUUACCCUGCAUUAUUUAUUGAAAAGCCACAACUUGAGAGUGGGGAUAAAAUCUUAAUGGAUUCAGAAACGAGAGGGAUAAUGGCAGCAGUAUAUGCCACUGGACAACCAAGGAGAACUUUCAAGAUUAUAUUUAUUGCAGUCCGAUGCUUUUUGUUGAGGGAACAAGCUUCACACAUCUUCUCAUAUACCAUUUGGUUUGUCCUUUUAUGAAUUAUGUAAAAUUAGAACAAUUUUAGAGUGACAUUAUUUGUAAGAUCUAUCAAUAGAGUAUCAUAUUGAAAUAUUUAUAUUGUUAUUAUGACUUA
Long non-coding RNA from Humulus lupulus (European hop), 923 nucleotides. RefSeq lists it as uncharacterized. The record is from RefSeq and is a predicted model, not a curated record. NCBI's taxonomy places the organism in Eukaryota, Viridiplantae, Streptophyta, Magnoliopsida, Rosales, Cannabaceae. The transcript has 4 exons.